CUCCGGGAAACUGGAGAUAAUUCCGAAUAAACCAUUAUUGCUGGAAUGCUUUUUGGUUCAAAGACUUCGGUUGCCUAAGGAUGGAUCUGCGGUCUAUCAGGUAGUAGUGGGUGUAAAGUACCUACUAGCCUACGACGGAUAUGGGUUGUGAGAGCAAGAGCCCAGAGAUGGAUUCUGAGACAUGAAUCCAGGCCCUACGGGGCGCAGCAGGCGCGAAAACUUUACAAUGCGGGAAACCGCGAUAAGGGGACACCGAGUGCCAGCAUAUUAUGUUGGCUGUCCACAUGUGUAAACGGCAUGUGUUAGCAAGGGCCGGGCAAGACCGGUGCCAGCCGCCGCGGUAACACCGGCGGCCCGAGUGGUAAUCACUUUUAUUGGGUCUAAAGGGUCCGUAGCCGGUUUGAUCAGUUCUUCGGGAAAUCUGACAGCUCAACUGUUAGGCUUCCGGGGAAUACUGUCAGACUUGGGACCGGGAGAGGUAAGAGGUACUACAGGGGUAGGAGUGAAAUCUUGUAAUCCCUGUGGGACCACCAGUGGCGAAGGCGUCUUACCAGAACGGGUCCGACGGUGAGGGACGAAAGCUGGGGGCACGAACCGGAUUAGAUACCCGGGUAGUCCCAGCCGUAAACGAUGUUCGCUAGGUGUCAGGGACGGUGCGACCGUUUCUGGUGCCGCAGGGAAGCCGUGAAGCGAACCACCUGGGAAGUACGGCCGCAAGGCUGAAACUUAAAGGAAU
RNAcentral lists this ribosomal RNA (736 nucleotides) under uncultured euryarchaeote. RNAcentral's name for it is "bacterial SSU rRNA". It matches the Rfam family "Archaeal small subunit ribosomal RNA", at positions 130 to 865 of the family's 1478-position model. Lineage: Archaea; Methanobacteriati; Methanobacteriota. The record is from RNAcentral.